UGGACAUUCUGAAGUACGAUCUAUCAUUUAUUUAAUAUUUGUACACUUUUUUUUUUUUUAACAAAAUAUUUCAUGACUUGGGUACAGUCUGCUUUACAUCCAUUUUAUUUUCCAGAGAUGCGUUUAGACAUCUAGACUCCCUGGAAGGGUGGACUGAGCGAAAUCUGCAGCAAUGGCACAAAAAUGAUGGAAGAAACUGUGGUGUUUUCGUAUGCACAGUGAGUUAACUGUAUUAUGUUGAUGUUGUUAAUAUAUUCUCUAAUAUAAUACGUUUGAUGAAUAUAAAAUGUUAAAUAAUUUUUGGAGUAGAUGGCAGAGAUGGAAGCUAAAAGUAUUAAAAUGUGCCAGGAAAUUCUGCACACUGAACAGAUGGGAUACCUUCGUCUUUACCAUGCCUCAUGCCUGGUGAAACAUCUGCAACCAGAGGACUUUCCACCCGAAGUCAAAAUUGUCCAAAGUGCAACACAGACCAGCUGUAUGGCCCAGGAUGUAGGAGUUUGCAUUUAUCAAAAGUAUCGAUCAAAAGUAAUGCACCCAGAAAUCCAUUCACUGGACUGGAUUCAAUGUGACCUUUGCAAAAAAUGGCUGCAUUCUGACUGCGCUGGUAUCAGCCUUGAAAUGAUCACAGAGGAAACAUCAUUCAGCUGUGGAUGUGACACUAACCAUGUCCAUACCUU
Megalobrama amblycephala (Wuchang bream) is the source of this 677-nucleotide long non-coding RNA. RefSeq lists it as uncharacterized. The transcript is spliced from 3 exons. NCBI's taxonomy places the organism in Eukaryota, Metazoa, Chordata, Actinopteri, Cypriniformes, Xenocyprididae. The record is from RefSeq and is a predicted model, not a curated record.